UGCACAUGUGAGAGGAUGAGCCAUGUGGGAGGACGGCUCAUCGGGGGUUCGGUGACUCCACUGACUAAUUUCCACGUGAUGUGAUUAUUUGAAGGUGAUAUUGUUGUGGGUGCUGAUAUGAUGACAUAUGAGUGACUGUUGUGUGUUCAUUCAGUAUACUAGGGUGCAUUUUGCUUGCCUGUAUGUGGUGUGUAUUAUUUAUUAUUAUUCACUGAGUUGCAAAACUCACCCCCUUCUCUCCAAACCUCCCAGGUACUAGGAAGCAGCUGAUUCGAUUGAAGCUCUGCAAUCUUCUCCGCAGAGUUAUAAAUGUAAACUUUAUAUUUUUGUUAUUUAAUUUUGGUUGUAUAAGUUACUCUUUUAUCAGAUUAUUACUGAACUCCGCA
Molecule: long non-coding RNA, 386 nt
Filed under: Jatropha curcas
Lineage: Eukaryota; Viridiplantae; Streptophyta; Magnoliopsida; Malpighiales; Euphorbiaceae
Description: long non-coding RNA (JCUR_LNC001679)
Source: RNAcentral